Molecule: long non-coding RNA, 451 nt
Organism: Ornithorhynchus anatinus (platypus)
Lineage: Eukaryota; Metazoa; Chordata; Mammalia; Monotremata; Ornithorhynchidae
Exons: 4
Source: RefSeq, a predicted model, not a curated record
AAGGGAAAAGAGAGAUAGAGAGAGCAUGUGUAUGCAUGUAUGUGUUUAAGGAUGGGAAGUAGGAAUUCGGGGAAGUGAGAGGAGCAUUGCCAAACCCCACUGCAACUUAGGAGAACUGCAAUUACCAGCCUCACAGUGCAAUUCAGCACUUGUACCUCUUCAGUACUCCCUUCUCUGUUCUUCUUCUUGGAAUUUUGCCAGGAGAUUACAUGCAGCCCUCAACAGCAUUUUUUGGUGGAGCUGUGUCUCACAAAGAUACCCUUCAGAGUUGGGGAGAAGGGAGGAGGAAGGGAAAGCAUACAAGAUGGUAUAAAUAUUUAACAGAGAAGGCAAUUCGGAUGACUUCUGCACGUGGAAUUCAAGAGUAUAAUGAAGGAACUCUGCUUGGAAAAUAACUCCAGACUUUCCCUCUACUUAACACUUUUGUAUUAGUAAAGCAAUCAGUGAUCAA